This 253-nucleotide ribosomal RNA is filed under the name uncultured bacterium. RNAcentral's name for it is "partial 16S ribosomal RNA". It matches the Rfam family "Bacterial small subunit ribosomal RNA", at positions 524 to 776 of the family's 1533-position model. The record is from RNAcentral.
UACGAAGGGGGCUAGCGUUGCUCGGAAUCACUGGGCGUAAAGGGUGCGUAGGCGGGUCUUUAAGUCAGGGGUGAAAUCCUGGAGCUCAACUCCAGAACUGCCUUUGAUACUGAAGAUCUUGAGUUCGGGAGAGGUGAGUGGAACUGCGAGUGUAGAGGUGAAAUUCGUAGAUAUUCGCAAGAACACCAGUGGCGAAGGCGGUUCUCUGGGCCUGUACUGACGCUGAGGAACGAAAGCGUGGGGAGCGAACAGG